UGUAAGCGUAUACCAAAGUUGUUGCAGUUAAAACGCUCGUAGUCGGAAUUUGGCAGUUCCGGAUGUGUGCACGUCGUGUGCGCACUUCGCGGGGAUUGCUUUUGUGGUCUUGCGUAGGAUGAGGCACUUUUAUUAGUGAACGUCCUCACGCAACCACUUUUUACUGUGAGAAAAUCAGAGUGCUCAAAGCAGGCAUUUGACGUGAAUGUAUUAGCAUGGAAUAAUAGAAUAGGACUUGGUUAUAUUUUGUUGGUUUGUUGGGACUGAGUAAUGAUUAAGAGGGACAGUUGGGGGCAUUUGUAUUUCGGUGCUAGAGGUGAAAUUCUUAGAUUACCGAAAGACAAACUGCUGCGAAAGCGUCUGCCAAGGAUGUUUUCAUUGA
This 382-nucleotide ribosomal RNA is filed under the name uncultured eukaryote. RNAcentral's name for it is "partial 18S ribosomal RNA". It matches the Rfam family "Eukaryotic small subunit ribosomal RNA", at positions 592 to 976 of the family's 1831-position model. The record is from RNAcentral.